Molecule: small RNA, 28 nt
Filed under: Bombyx mori (domestic silkworm)
Lineage: Eukaryota; Metazoa; Arthropoda; Insecta; Lepidoptera; Bombycidae
Description: ovarian small RNA-30606
Source: RNAcentral
UGAAAUGAUGAUUUUCUGAAGUACGAGA